GAGUUUGAUCAUGGCUCAGAUUGAACGCUGGCGGCAGGCCUAACACAUGCAAGUCGAGCGGUAGAGAGAAGCUUGCUUCUCUUGAGAGCGGCGGACGGGUGAGUAAUGCCUAGGAAUCUGCCUGGUAGUGGGGGAUAACGCUCGGAAACGGACGCUAAUACCGCAUACGUCCUACGGGAGAAAGCAGGGGACCUUCGGGCCUUGCGCUAUCAGAUGAGCCUAGGUCGGAUUAGCUAGUUGGUGAGGUAAUGGCUCGCCAAGGCGACGAUCCGUAACUGGUCUGAGAGGAUGAUCAGUCACACUGGAGCUGAGACACGGUCCAGACUCCUACGGGAGGCAGCAGUGGGGAAUAUUGGACAAUGGGCGAAAGCCUGAUCCAGCCAUGCCGCGUGUGUGAAGAAGGUCUUCGGAUUGUAAAGCACUUUAAGUUGGGAGGAAGGGCAGUAAUUAAUACUUUGCUGUUUGACGUUACGACAGAAUAAGCACCGGCUAACUCUGUGCCAG
RNAcentral lists this ribosomal RNA (504 nucleotides) under uncultured bacterium. RNAcentral's name for it is "bacterial SSU rRNA". It matches the Rfam family "Bacterial small subunit ribosomal RNA", at positions 9 to 511 of the family's 1533-position model. The record is from RNAcentral.